GACGAACGCUGGCGGCGUGGAUUAGGCAUGCAAGUCGAACGGUAUCAUCCUUUCGGGGGUGAGAGAGUGGCGAACUGGUGAGUAACACGUAGGUUAUCUACCCUCAAGACGGGGACAACCCAGGGAAACUUGGGCUAAUACCGGAUGUGAGCAACUUUUAGUUGUUUGAAAGGCGGCGUAAGCUGUCGCUUGGGGAUGAGCCUGCGUCCUAUUAGUUAGUUGGUGAGGUAACGGCUCACCUAGGCAAUGAUAGGUAGGCGGCCUUAACGGGUGGUCGCCCACACUGGGAUUGAGAUACGGCCCAGACUCCUACGGGAGGCAGCAGUCGAGAAUAGUCUACAAUGGUCGGAAGACUGAUAGUGCGACGCCGCGUGAACGAUGAAUCCCUUCGGGGUGUAAAGUUCUUUUAUAUGUGAGCAGUGCUUCUUAUAUUAACAGUAUGGGGAGAGAGAUAUUAGCAUAUGAAUAAGCAACGGCUAACUCCGUGCCAGCAGCCGCGGUAAUACG
Molecule: ribosomal RNA, 507 nt
Filed under: uncultured bacterium
Lineage: Bacteria
Description: bacterial SSU rRNA
Rfam family: Bacterial small subunit ribosomal RNA
Source: RNAcentral